AUACCGCCUAUAUACCGCCGUCGUCAGCCUACCCUGUGAAGGACUAGAAGUGAGCAAGAUUGGUAAAACCCAAAACGUCAGGUCGAGGUGUAGUGUAUGAGAGGGGAAGAAAUGGGCUACAUUUCCUAAAUCAGGAAACACGAAUAAUGAACUGAAAUGAGCAUUAGAAGGUGGAUUUAGCAGUAAGCAGUAAAACAGAGUGUUCUGCUGAAAUUUGGCAAUAAAGCACGCACAUAUCGCCCGUCACUCUCCCCGAGCUAAUACAAAAGCAAAUAUCUAAAAAACUACAUCUGCAAAGGGGAGGCAAGUCGUAACAUGGUAAGCGUACCGGAAGGUGCGCUUGGAACAAU
RNAcentral lists this ribosomal RNA (350 nucleotides) under Amphiprion sebae (Sebae anemonefish). RNAcentral's name for it is "partial 12S ribosomal RNA". It matches the Rfam family "Bacterial small subunit ribosomal RNA", at positions 1032 to 1533 of the family's 1533-position model. The record is from RNAcentral. Lineage: Eukaryota; Metazoa; Chordata; Actinopteri; Pomacentridae.